This 459-nucleotide ribosomal RNA is filed under the name uncultured bacterium. RNAcentral's name for it is "partial 16S ribosomal RNA". It matches the Rfam family "Bacterial small subunit ribosomal RNA", at positions 338 to 795 of the family's 1533-position model. The record is from RNAcentral.
CCUACGGGAGGCAGCAGUGAGGAAUAUUGGUCAAUGGCCGCAGGGCUGAACCAGCCAAGUCGCGUGAGGGAUGAAGGUCCUAUGGAUUGUAAACCUCUUUUGUCAGGGAGCAAAGGGCGCCACGUGUGGCGCUUUGCGAGUACCUGAAGAAAAAGCAUCGGCUAACUCCGUGCCAGCAGCCGCGGUAAUACGGAGGAUGCGAGCGUUAUCCGGAUUUAUUGGGUUUAAAGGGUGCGCAGGCGGAAUGUCAAGUCAGCGGUAAAAUUUCGGGGCUCAACCCCGUCGUGCCGUUGAAACUGGCGUUCUUGAGUGAGCGAGAAGUAUGCGGAAUGCGUGGUGUAGCGGUGAAAUGCAUAGAUAUCACGCAGAACUCCGAUUGCGAAGGCAGCAUACCGGCGCUCAACUGACGCUCAUGCACGAAAGCGUGGGUAUCGAACAGGAUUAGAUACCCCGGUAGUC